UGGCGCACGGGUGCGUAACGCGUAGCCAACCUACCCGAAUCUGGGGGAUAGCCCGCCGAAAGGCGGAUUAAUACCGCAUAAAACUGCAGCCUGGCAUUGGGCAACAGUUAAAGAUUUAUUGGAUUCGGAUGGGGCUGCGUGCCAUUAGCCAGUUGGGGGGUAACGGCCCACCAAGGCGACGAUGGCUAGGGGAGCUGAGAGGCUGGUCCCCCACACGGGCACUGAGAUACGGGCCCG
This 237-nucleotide ribosomal RNA is filed under the name uncultured bacterium. RNAcentral's name for it is "partial 16S ribosomal RNA". It matches the Rfam family "Bacterial small subunit ribosomal RNA", at positions 96 to 334 of the family's 1533-position model. The record is from RNAcentral.